CCUACGGGUGGCAGCAGUGAGGAAUAUUGGUCAAUGGCCGGAAGGCUGAACCAGCCAUGCCGCGUGAAGGUCAGUGCCCUAUGGGCGUUAAACUUCUUUUGUGCGGGAGCAAUAAUGGUCACGUGUGGCCAGACGAGAGUACCGUACGAAUAAGCCUCGGCUAACUCCGUGUCAGCAGCCGCGGGAAUACGGGGGAUGCGAGCGUUUUCCGGAUUUAUUGGGUUUAAAGGGUGCGUAGGUGGGGAGGUAAGUCAGCGGGGUAAUGCCCCGGCGCAACGGGGUGAAGUGCCAUUGAUACUGCCUUGCUGGAAUGCGGAUGCCGUGGGAGGAAUGUGUGGUGUAGCGGUGAAAUGCAUAGAUAUCACACAGAACACCGAUUGCGAAGGCAUCUCACGAAUCCGCGAUUGACGCUGAUGCACGAAAGCGUGGGUAUCAAACAGGAUUAGAUACCCUUGUAGUC
This 460-nucleotide ribosomal RNA is filed under the name uncultured bacterium. RNAcentral's name for it is "partial 16S ribosomal RNA". It matches the Rfam family "Bacterial small subunit ribosomal RNA", at positions 338 to 795 of the family's 1533-position model. The record is from RNAcentral.